This 465-nucleotide ribosomal RNA is filed under the name Selenomonas sp. oral taxon 140. RNAcentral's name for it is "bacterial SSU rRNA". It matches the Rfam family "Bacterial small subunit ribosomal RNA", at positions 28 to 472 of the family's 1533-position model. Lineage: Bacteria; Bacillati; Bacillota; Negativicutes; Selenomonadales; Selenomonadaceae. The record is from RNAcentral.
GACGAACGCUGGCGGCGUGCUUAACACAUGCAAGUCGAACGGAGCGAAUGAAAGCUUGCUUUUAUAAGCUUAGUGGCAAACGGGUGAGUAACACGUAGACAACCUGCCGACAGGAUGGGGACAACAUUCCGAAAGGAAUGCUAAUACCGAAUGAAGUCGAGGGAAGGCACCUUCCUUCGAUGAAAGAUGGCCUCUGAAUAAGCUAUCACCUGUUGAUGGGUCUGCGUCUGAUUAGCUGGUAGGUGAGGUAACGGCUCACCUAGGCGACGAUCAGUAGCCGGUCUGAGAGGAUGAACGGCCACAUUGGGACUGAGACACGGCCCAGACUCCUACGGGAGGCAGCAGUGGGGAAUCUUCCGCAAUGGGCGCAAGCCUGACGGAGCAACGCCGCGUGAGUGAAGAAGGUCUUCGGAUCGUAAAGCUCUGUUGAUGGGGACGAACGUGCCUAAUGCGAAUAGUUUUAGG